GAUGAACGCUGGCGGCGUGCCUAAUACAUGCAAGUCGAGCGAACGGACGAGAAGCUUGCUUCUCUGAUGUUAGCGGCGGACGGGUGAGUAACACGUGGAUAACCUACCUAUAAGACUGGGAUAACUUCGGGAAACCGGCGCUAAUACCGGAUAAUAUUUUGAACCGCAUGGUUCAAAAGUGAAAGACGGUCUUGCUGUCACUUAUAGAUGGAUCCGCGCUGCAUUAGCUAGUUGGUAAGGUAACGGCUUACCAAGGCAACGAUGCAUAGCCGACCUGAGAGGGUGAUAGGCCGCACUGGAACUGAGACGCGGUCCAGACUCCUACGGGAGGCAGCAGAAGGGAAUCUUACGCAAUGGGCGAAAGCAUGACGGAGCAACGCCGCGUGAGUGAUGAAGGUCUUCGGAUCGUAAAACUCUGUUAUUAGGGAAGAACAGAUGUGUAAGUAACUGUGCACAUCGUGACGGUACCUAAUCAGAAAGCCACGGCUAACUACGUG
This 497-nucleotide ribosomal RNA is filed under the name uncultured bacterium. RNAcentral describes it as "partial 16S ribosomal RNA". It matches the Rfam family "Bacterial small subunit ribosomal RNA", at positions 28 to 507 of the family's 1533-position model. The record is from RNAcentral.